UACGUAGGGGGCAAGCGUUGUCCGGAUUCAUUGGGCGUAAAGAGCGUGUAGGCGGCCAGGUAGGUCGGUUGUGAAAACUGGAGGCUCAACCUUCAGAGGUCGACCGAAACCAUCUGGCUAGAGUCCGGGAGAGGAGAGUGGAAUUCCUGGUGUAGCGGUGAAAUGCGUAGAUAUCUGGAGGAACACCGGUGGCGAAGGCGGCAUCCUGGACCAAUUCUGACGCUGAGGAGCGAAAGCCAGGGGAGCAAACGGG
Molecule: ribosomal RNA, 253 nt
Filed under: uncultured bacterium
Lineage: Bacteria
Description: partial 16S ribosomal RNA
Rfam family: Bacterial small subunit ribosomal RNA
Source: RNAcentral